GCCUGGCUGGCUUCGUCAGUACAGCAUGGGACUCUCGAUCUCAGAGUCAUGAGUUCAAGUCCCAUGUUGGGCC
Molecule: transfer RNA, 73 nt
Filed under: Ailuropoda melanoleuca (giant panda)
Lineage: Eukaryota; Metazoa; Chordata; Mammalia; Carnivora; Ursidae
Rfam family: tRNA
About the family: Transfer RNA (tRNA) molecules are approximately 80 nucleotides in length. Their secondary structure includes four short double-helical elements and three loops (D, anti-codon, and T loops).
Source: Rfam by way of RNAcentral